Molecule: unclassified non-coding RNA, 355 nt
Filed under: soil metagenome
Description: partial contains 5.8S ribosomal RNA, internal transcribed spacer 2, and large subunit ribosomal RNA
Rfam family: 5.8S ribosomal RNA (bases 1-120)
Source: RNAcentral
GAUGAAGAACGCAGCGAAAUGCGAUAAGUAGUGUGAAUUGCAGAAUUCAGUGAAUCAUCGAAUCUUUGAACGCACAUUGCGCCCCAUGGUAUUCCAUGGGGCAUGCCUGUUCGAGCGUCAUUAAGUCCACUUAAGCCCUGCUUAGUGUUGGGAGACUGCUCCAGCGGUGCUACCCUGUAGCUACCCUGCAGCUCCUCAAAGACAGCGGCGGAGUUGUGGUAUCCUCUGAGCUUAGUAACUUGUUCUAGCUUUCGAGUACACCACUUCCCCUGCCGUAAAACCCUUAAUUUUUAAUGGUUGACCUCGGAUCAGGUAGGAAUACCCGCUGAACUUAAGCAUAUCAAUAAGCGGAGGA